Molecule: ribosomal RNA, 253 nt
Filed under: uncultured bacterium
Lineage: Bacteria
Description: partial 16S ribosomal RNA
Rfam family: Bacterial small subunit ribosomal RNA
Source: RNAcentral
UACGUAGGUGGCAAGCGUUGUCCGGAAUUAUUGGGCGUAAAGGGCGUGUAGGUGGAUUCUUAAGUCGUGUGUCUAAGUGCGGAGCCCAACUCCGUAUAGGCGCAGGAAACUGAGAAUCUUGAGUGCAGGAGAGGAAAGUGGAAUUCCCAGUGUAGCGGUGAAAUGCGUAGAUAUUGGGAGGAACACCAGUGGCGAAGGCGACUUUCUGGACUGUGUCUGACACUGAGGCGCGAAAGCUAGGGGAGCGAACGGG